Molecule: transfer RNA, 76 nt
Filed under: Pandoraea thiooxydans
Lineage: Bacteria; Pseudomonadati; Pseudomonadota; Betaproteobacteria; Burkholderiales; Burkholderiaceae
Also listed under: 2 other names
Description: tRNA-Met
Rfam family: tRNA
About the family: Transfer RNA (tRNA) molecules are approximately 80 nucleotides in length. Their secondary structure includes four short double-helical elements and three loops (D, anti-codon, and T loops).
Source: RNAcentral
GGGCCGUUAGCUCAGCGGUUAGAGCAGGGGACUCAUAAUCCCUUGGUCGAUGGUUCGAACCCAUCACGGCCCACCA